UACAAUGUUUUGACUCUAUGUCUUAUUUAAAAUUUUUUGCGAUUAAUUUUUUUUCUUACUGGAUGAUAAAGCAUGAAUAGUAUUUUAUGUGUGAUUAAUUUUUUUUAAGUUUUUGUAAUUUUUUUCAAAUAAGACGAGUGGUCAAACGUUAUACAUGGAAA
Molecule: microRNA precursor, 161 nt
Filed under: Oryza brachyantha (malo sina)
Lineage: Eukaryota; Viridiplantae; Streptophyta; Magnoliopsida; Poales; Poaceae
Description: MIR812 microRNA precursor family
Rfam family: MIR812 microRNA precursor family
Source: Rfam by way of RNAcentral